UGGAAUUGGCAUAUGUAUAUGGAACUCGGUUUGUUUUAUUACUGGUUCUUCUAGCAGCUCUAUACUAUUGCUUGUAGUAUUGUAUGAUUUACAGGUACAGCUAUCGCUUCGUAUACAGGAAAAAAUUUUUUGUAUACGGCGGAUUUGUCGGCGCACCCGAGGAAUGUGUAAUCCGGGGCGUGACGGAUUAAGUUGGUAUCAGAGUUUAUCUAUAGGUCGUUGGAACCUAGGAACCCUAAAUUUGGCAAACCUUAGGAAGGCAAGACGCGAGAGGCGUGAUUUACCGCGAAAGUCACUGAUUGAUUGUUCUAACUCCUCCUGAAGAGGAGGGAGUGAUUGAAGGAGUUUCUGUUUCGGUCCAGAAAAAUUA
RNAcentral lists this long non-coding RNA (370 nucleotides) under Ananas comosus (pineapple). RNAcentral describes it as "long non-coding RNA (ACOM_LNC039854)". Lineage: Eukaryota; Viridiplantae; Streptophyta; Magnoliopsida; Poales; Bromeliaceae. The record is from RNAcentral.